GGAUGUAAGGUGAUCUGGUUGCAACAUCUGUCACCCCAUUGAUUGCCAGCAUAUUGGCCGAUCUGGCAAAUUAGAUGAGUAUGUCCUUCCCUCAUGGCUCCAUGUAUGUCCCCAGAAGCUGUAUACUUGAUCAAAAAGGAAGACCUUCCUAAUAGAGGAGGACCAUUCUUUGGUCAAGGUUAUAUGAGUAGCUGCGCUACCCUGCUAGAACCUCCAAACAAGCUCUCAAGGUCCAUUUGUAAGAGAACGUAGGGUAGUCAAACUUCCAAGACUCCAGACAUAUCUAAAUGAGGCACUGCAUGUUGCAGUCUGCCUUUCUUA
RNAcentral lists this small nuclear RNA (321 nucleotides) under Canis lupus familiaris (dog). RNAcentral describes it as "7SK RNA". It matches the Rfam family "7SK RNA". Rfam says of the family: 7SK was discovered as an abundant small nuclear RNA in the mid-70s but a possible function has only recently been suggested. Two independent studies have found that 7SK RNA binds the CDK9/cyclin T complex (known as elongation factor P-TEFb). The record is from Rfam by way of RNAcentral. Lineage: Eukaryota; Metazoa; Chordata; Mammalia; Carnivora; Canidae. RNAcentral also lists the same sequence under 1 other name.